ACUGAUGUGUUGUUGGGUAGGGGAGCGUUCUGUAAGCCGUUGAAGGUGGCCUGUGAGGGUUGCUGGAGGUAUCAGAAGUGCGAAUGCUGACAUAAGUAACGAUAAAGCGGGUGAAAAGCCCGCUCGCCGGAAGACCAAGGGUUCCUGUCCAACGUUAAUCGGGGCAGGGUGAGUCGACCCCUAAGGCGAGGCCGAAAGGCGUAGUCGAUGGGAAACGGGUUAAUAUUCCCGUACUUGGUGUUACUGCGAAGGGGGGACGGAGAAGGCUAUGUUGGCCGGGCGACGGUUGUCCCGGUUUAAGCGUGUAGGUGUGUGUUCCAGGUAAAUCCGGUUCACUUUAACACUGAGGCGUGACGACGAGGCACUACGGUGCUGAAGCAACAAAUGCCCUGCUUCCAGGAAAAGCCUCUAAGCCUCAGGUAACAUCAAAUCGUACCCCAAACCGACACAGGUGGUCAGGUAGAGAAUACCAAGGCGCUUGAGAGAACUCGGGUGAAGGAACUAGGCAAAAUGGUGCCGUAACUUCGGGAGAAGGCACGCUGACACGUAGGUGAAGUGGUUUACCCAUGGAGCUGAAGUCAGUCGAAGAUACCAGCUGGCUGCAACUGUUUAUUAAAAACACAGCACUGUGCAAACACGAAAGUGGACGUAUACGGUGUGACGCCUGCCCGGUGCCGGAAGGUUAAUUGAUGGGGUUAUCCGUAAGGAGAAGCUCUUGAUCGAAGCCCCGGUAAACGGCGGCCGUAACUAUAACGGUCCUAAGGUAGCGAAAUUCCUUGUCGGGUAAGUUCCGACCUGCACGAAUGGCGUAAUGAUGGCCAGGCUGUCUCCACCCGGGACUCAGUGAAAUUGAACUCGCUGUGAAGAUGCAGUGUACCCGCGGCAAGACGGAAAGACCCCGUGAACCUUUACUAUAGCUUGACACUGAACACUGGUCCUUGAUGUGCAGGAUAGGUGGGAGGCUUUGAAGUGUGGACGCCAGUCUGCAUGGAGCCGUCCUUGAAAUACCACCCUUUAAUGGCUGGUGUUCUAACGUGGGCCCGUGAACCGGGUUGCGGACAGUGUCUGGUGGGUAGUUUGACUGGGGCGGUCUCCUCCUAAAGAGUAACGGAGGAGCACGAAGGUUGGCUAAUCCUGGUCGGACAUCAGGAGGUUAGUGCAAUGGCAUAAGCCAGCUUGACUGCGAGCGUGACGGCGCGAGCAGGUGCGAAAGCAGGUCAUAGUGAUCCGGUGGUUCUGAAUGGAAGGGCCAUCGCUCAACGGAUAAAAGGUACUCCGGGGAUAACAGGCUGAUACCGCCCAAGAGUUCAUAUCGACGGCGGUGUUUGGCACCUCGAUGUCGGCUCAUCACAUCCUGGGGCUGAAGUAGGUCCCAAGGGUAUGGCUGUUCGCCAUUUAAAGUGGUACGCGAGCUGGGUUUAGAACGUCGUGAGACAGUUCGGUCCCUAUCUGCCGUGGGCGCUGGAAGAUUGAGGGGGGCUGCUCCUAGUACGAGAGGACCGGAGUGGACGCAUCACUGGUGUUCGGGUUGUCAUGCCAAUGGCACUGCCCGGUAGCUACAUGCGGAAGAGAUAAGUGCUGAAAGCAUCUAAGCACGAAACUUGCCCCGAGAUGAAUCUUCCCUGAGCCUUUAAGGCUCCUGAAGGAACGUUGAAGACGACGACGUUGAUAGGCCGGGUGUGUAAGCGCAGCGAUGCGUUGAGCUAACCGGUACUAAUGAACCGUGAGGCUUAACCUUACAACGCCGAAG
RNAcentral lists this ribosomal RNA (1750 nucleotides) under Salmonella enterica subsp. houtenae serovar O:11:g,z25:-. RNAcentral's name for it is "partial 23S ribosomal RNA". It matches the Rfam family "Bacterial large subunit ribosomal RNA", at positions 1211 to 2925 of the family's 2925-position model. Lineage: Bacteria; Pseudomonadati; Pseudomonadota; Gammaproteobacteria; Enterobacterales; Enterobacteriaceae. The record is from RNAcentral.